GUGCUUGUUUUGGCAGUACAUAUACUAAAAACUGGAAUAAUACAGAGAAGAUAAACAUGGCCUCUACACAAGUAUGACAUGCAAAUUUGUAAAGCACUCCAUAUUUUU
Molecule: small nuclear RNA, 108 nt
Organism: Jaculus jaculus (lesser Egyptian jerboa)
Lineage: Eukaryota; Metazoa; Chordata; Mammalia; Rodentia; Dipodidae
Source: RefSeq, a predicted model, not a curated record